CUCCCCGUAACGCCGUCCACGCCACCGUCCUCCACUCCCUCCUCUCCCUCCGCAACGCCGUCAUCCGCAACCGUUUCGAAUGGAACGACAAAACCAACCCUCUCCUCCGCGCCCCCAACGACGCCGCCGUUUCCAAGCCCCUCUCCAAACGCAAAUUCCGCGCCGCUAUCCAAUCCGGCAAGCCCUGCUUCCAGGACCGCGUCGUUCAGGAGAUUCUCUUGAUGAUUCUCGAACCGGUUUUUGAACCCCGGUUCUCCCCUAAAUCUCACGCGUUUCGACCCGGUCGAAACGCCCACACGGUUAUUCGAACCAUUCGGAGCAACUUCG
Molecule: unclassified non-coding RNA, 327 nt
Filed under: uncultured bacterium
Lineage: Bacteria
Description: contains 16S-23S intergenic spacer region
Source: RNAcentral